RNAcentral lists this ribosomal RNA (404 nucleotides) under uncultured bacterium. RNAcentral describes it as "bacterial SSU rRNA". It matches the Rfam family "Bacterial small subunit ribosomal RNA", at positions 355 to 776 of the family's 1533-position model. The record is from RNAcentral.
UGGGGAAUAUUGGACAAUGGGGGAAACCCUGAUCCAGCCAUGCCGCGUGAAUGAUGAAGGCCUUCGGGUUGUAAAAUUCUUUUGGCGGGGACGAUGAUGACGGUACCCGCAGAAUAAGCUCCGGCUAACUUCGUGCCAGCAGCCGCGGUAAUACGAAGGGGGCUAGCGUUGUUCGGAAUUACUGGGCGUAAAGAGCGCGUAGGCGGUUUGGCAAGUAGAGUGUGAAAGCCCAGGGCUCAACCCUGGAACUGCAUUCUAGACUGCCUCACUUGAAUUCGGUAGAGGUGAGUGGAAUUCCCAGUGUAGAGGUGAAAUUCGUAGAUAUUGGGAAGAACACCGGUGGCGAAGGCGGCUCACUGGACCGACAUUGACGCUGAGGCGCGAAAGCGUGGGGAGCAAACAGG